CAAGUGACUACGACGGUGGCAUCACAGUUCUUUUUGAACCCGGGAAUCAUCCAGGUUGCUACCUAUAGUCAAAGGCCAAUUCAUCCGGUUCUUUUCAAAUCGAUGGAUACCGAAUGUGAAGAGCUGACCGUUACAAGUGUUCCAAAUAUUUAUAUGCGUAUGGUUGAUGGAGUUGACGUGGGAACAAAAUUCAUCAUUGAGGCUACGGUGAUUGGUUUCGAUUUAUCAAGGGGUUGGAAUUACCUACAAUGCACAAAAUGCU
Erigeron canadensis is the source of this 262-nucleotide long non-coding RNA. RefSeq lists it as uncharacterized. NCBI's taxonomy places the organism in Eukaryota, Viridiplantae, Streptophyta, Magnoliopsida, Asterales, Asteraceae. The record is from RefSeq and is a predicted model, not a curated record. The transcript is spliced from 3 exons.